AUUGAACGCUGGCGGCAUGCGUAACACAUGCAAGUCGAACGGUGUUUGGUGCUUGCACCAGACAUAGUGGCGGACGGGUGAGUAAUGCGUAGGAAUCUGUCUUAGAGAGGGGGACAACCCGAGGAAACUUGGGCUAAAACCGCAUAUUCUCGAGAGAGGAAAGCAGGGGACCGGAAACGGCCUUGUGCUCUAAGGUGAGCCUACAUCGGAUUAGCUAGUUGGUAGGGUAAAAGCCUACCAAGGCGAUGAUCUGUAGCUGGUCUGAGAGGACGGACAGCCACACUGGGACUGAGACACGGCCCAGACUCCUACGGGAGGCAGCAGUGGGGAAUAUUGGACAAUGGGGGGAACCCUGAUCCAGCGAUGCCGCGUGUGUGAAGAAGGCCUGCGGGUUGUAAAAGCACUUUCAGUGGGAAAGAGAAGCGUCUUGUGAAUAAUGGGACGUGGAGACGUU
This 454-nucleotide ribosomal RNA is filed under the name uncultured bacterium. Its description in RNAcentral is "bacterial SSU rRNA". It matches the Rfam family "Bacterial small subunit ribosomal RNA", at positions 30 to 476 of the family's 1533-position model. The record is from RNAcentral.